RNAcentral lists this ribosomal RNA (307 nucleotides) under Blastocystis sp. BO17-003. RNAcentral describes it as "SSU rRNA". It matches the Rfam family "Eukaryotic small subunit ribosomal RNA", at positions 35 to 354 of the family's 1831-position model. The record is from RNAcentral. Lineage: Eukaryota; Bigyra; Opalinata; Blastocystidae. RNAcentral also lists the same sequence under 15 other names.
UCUCAAAGAUUAAGCCAUGCAUGUGUAAGUAUAAAUAAUUCUACUUUGAAACUGCGAAUGGCUCAUUAUAUCAGUUAUAGUUUAUUAGAAAAAAUGUACUACUUGGAUAACCGUAGUAAUUCUAGGGCUAAUACAUGAGUAAAUCCUCGACUUUGAAGAGGUGUGUUUAUUAGUAUGAAAACCAUAUGCUUCGGCAUGAUAGUGAGUAAUAAUAACCUUUCAUAUCGUAUGUUGAAAUAACGAUAGUUCUUUCAAGUUUCUGCCCUAUCAGCUUUCGAUGGUAGUGUAUUGGACUACCAUGGCAGUA